CAGUCGAGGGGCAGCAUGGUCUUAGCUUGCUAAGGCCGAUGGCGACCGGCGCACGGGUGAGUAACACGUAUCCAACCUGCCGUCUACUCUUGGACAGCCUUCUGAAAGGAAGAUUAAUACAAGAUGGCAUCAUGAGUCCGCAUGUUCACAUGAUUAAAGGUAUUCCGGUAGACGAUGGGGAUGCGUUCCAUUAGAUAGUAGGCGGGGUAACGGCCCACCUAGUCUUCGAUGGAUAGGGGUUCUGAGAGGAAGGUCCCCCACAUUGGAACUGAGACACGGUCCAAACUCCUACGGGAGGCAGCAGUGAGGAAUAUUGGUCAAUGGGCGAGAGCCUGAACCAGCCAAGUAGCGUGAAGGAUGACUGCCCUAUGGGUUGUAAACUUCUUUUAUAAAGGAAUAAAGUCGGGUAUGGAUACCCGUUUGCAUGUACUUUAUGAAUAAGGAUCGGCUAACUCCGUGCCAGCAGCCGCGGUAAUACGGAGGAUUCGAGCGUUAUCCGGAUUUAUUGGGUUUAAAGGGAGCGUAGAUGGAUGUUUAAGUCAGUUGUGAAAGUUUGCGGCUCAACCGUAAAAUUGCAGUUGAUACUGGAUAUCUUGAGUGCAGUUGAGGCAGGCGGAAUUCGUGGUGUAGCGGUGAAAUGCUUAGAUAUCACGAAGAACUCCGAUUGCGAAGGCAGCCUGCUAAGCUGCAACUGACAUUGAGGCUCGAAAGUGUGGGUAUCAAACAGGAUUAGAUACCCUGGUAGUCCACACGGUAAACGAUGAAUACUCGCUGUUUGCGAUAUACUGCAAGCGGC
Molecule: ribosomal RNA, 796 nt
Filed under: uncultured bacterium
Lineage: Bacteria
Description: bacterial SSU rRNA
Rfam family: Bacterial small subunit ribosomal RNA
Source: RNAcentral